Long non-coding RNA from Bubalus bubalis (water buffalo), 1676 nucleotides. RefSeq lists it as uncharacterized. The transcript has 2 exons. The record is from RefSeq and is a predicted model, not a curated record. Lineage: Eukaryota; Metazoa; Chordata; Mammalia; Artiodactyla; Bovidae.
GUCUUCCGCCGCUUUUUAAUGACGCCGGCUCUCCCCGAGCGCUGAUUGGACAGUUCCCAUCCGCCCGCGCGCUGACGCGACGGAAACUCCUUCUCCCAUUGGGGGGGCGGGCGGUGAAGAGGCGGGCCCGGAGGCGGGGGCUGCUUGGCCCGGCAGCUAAAAAUAAACGCCGACUGGGAGCGCGCGUCUGGGCGCCGGUGAAGUUUGGAGGCUUCGAAGUUCGGAGGGGCUGGAGGCGGGUGGGAGGGGCUGGAGGCGGGUGGGAGGGGCGGAGAGAAGCUACCUCCCCAGGGAUUGGUCAGAUCACGGGGAGGGGGCGGGGAGACGCGUGGGAGGUGCGGUGAUUGGUGGGCCGCUGAGCGGUCCCGGAACUCGCGCCCGCUGAGCCCUUAAAAGGCACGACGCGCGUGGCGGGUGCCUUGUUGGGCUGUUGGUUGGCGGGUAUCUUCCUCGUGUGUGUUUUUUUGUUUUUGUUUUAAAAUUGCUGCAUUGGCUUUCGUGAGUCUAGGUUGGAGAAUGUAGGUGAUGACGAAGCAUCAGCCAUGGGUGAAGGACCAUGGGAAGAAUGGAGUAUGCGUUCAUUGAAAAUGUGAACGCGUUUCAUGAAAAAAGCGUUCUCAGUUCUCAUGCAUCUCCUCAGUUCCGGUCUUAACCCUGGCGUUUGCGGAUCCCACACACCUCACGGGAAAGGAACAGCGCCGGGUCGACGCAGGUUUAACUGUCAACGCCUGCAUGGCUAAUUGAGUAAGGCAGACUUAAAACACUCGCCGUUGUUAGCUGAGAACUCGCCAGAACCGUCCUUCCAAGGGGAUUUAAGACCGAUGAGCCGGCGCUCUGACGUGGGCUGACUUCUCCGCUGAAGGGACGCUGCUGUAUUUCCCUCCAGAGGUAUUCUUGUCCAUGGAGGUUGCUGAAGAAGCAAAUACCUGCUACUCGUACUAAAGUCCUUCUGUCGUCCUCGGGCUGUCUGGCAGUGUUGACCUGCCUGCUUAAGUGGGACCACCGCUCUCUGGUCAUGGCCUCGCCCAGUGAGCACCGAGGAGAAGCCCCCAGGAAACCGAGCGGCAAGGGCAGGAUUCUUGGGUUAGGAAGAUUUAGAGGUGACAGUCCCUAGGACUGUCGCGGUGCUGGGUUUAGAACACUGACGUUGGGGCACAAUCCUCCCACUGCUCCCUGCUCACUGGAGAGUGCGCGUUGCACAUUCAGGUCCUGGAGGGGGGCGUCUUACAGCUGAAACCCCAUGCCACCAGUUGGACAUGAGAAAAUCUUUCAAGUUGUCUUUUUUGUUAAUUGAUUUUUGCAUUCCACCCUGUAAUUAGUUGAAAUAAUUAAACAAUUCAGGCCUUAAAAUGGACUCGCCAGGGAAAUGUAUAAUUUUUGUCCUGUGAAUUGGAUGCCUCUCCUUCAGUAUUUUUUCCAGGUGGCAUAGUGGUAAAGAAUCUGCCUGUCGAGGCAAGAGACACCGGGUUCUGUCCCUGGGUCAGGAAGGUCCCUGGAGUAGGAGAUGUCAACCCGCUCCAGUAUUUUUGCCUGGGAAAUUCCAUGGACAGAAGAGCCUGGCCAUGGAGUCACAGAGCAUGAUGCGAUUGAGCCAGUACCCACUAUAGUAUUUUGAACUAAUGGUACCAGACUCCCCAGUAGGUUGUGAAAUCAGCUUAGUGGUUGUUUUUUUUUUU